RNAcentral lists this non-coding RNA (29 nucleotides) under Mus musculus (house mouse). Lineage: Eukaryota; Metazoa; Chordata; Mammalia; Rodentia; Muridae. The record is from RNAcentral.
UGAGGCAGGACUGUUACAUAUUCAGAGGC